Molecule: ribosomal RNA, 253 nt
Filed under: uncultured bacterium
Lineage: Bacteria
Description: partial 16S ribosomal RNA
Rfam family: Bacterial small subunit ribosomal RNA
Source: RNAcentral
UACGUAGGGGGCUAGCGUUGUCCGGAUUUAUUGGGCGUAAAGAGCGUGUAGGCGGCCAGGUAGGUCCGCUGUGAAAGUCCGAGGCUCAACCUCGGAAUGUCGGCGGAAACCCUCUGGCUAGAGUCCGGAAGAGGAGAGUGGAAUUCCCGGUGUAGCGGUGAAAUGCGCAGAUAUCGGGAAGAACACCCGUGGCGAAGGCGGCUCUCUGGGACGGUACUGACGCUGAGACGCGAAAGCGUGGGGAGCAAACAGG